Long non-coding RNA from Hyaena hyaena (striped hyena), 548 nucleotides. RefSeq lists it as uncharacterized. The record is from RefSeq and is a predicted model, not a curated record. Lineage: Eukaryota; Metazoa; Chordata; Mammalia; Carnivora; Hyaenidae. The transcript has 2 exons.
CAACUAAGCGUUACUGAGCUACCUCAAUGAGCCAGUCUCUGCCCUGAGCACUUUUCAUGUACCACUUCAUUCAACCCCCACAAAGGCACCAGGAUGAAGGGACCACUAUCAACUCCCCUUUGUCCAUGAAGGAAUGGAUGUUAGAGAAAGGAGAUCAUACCACAUGGGCCUGGCCUAAUCAGUCGCGUCUCUAAAAGCAGUCAGAGAGAUUCAAAGGGGCAGAUUGUCCUUGCAACCAUGAAAAAGCAAACAUGUUGUGAACUGCCUAUGGCUGGAGCCACAUGGCAAGGACCCGAGGACAGUUUCUAGGAGCGGAGAGUGCCCGCUGACAGCCACCAAGAAAAUAGGGACUCAGCCCUACAACCACAAGGAACUGAAUUCUGACAAUAAGCAGUGAUAGUGGAAGAGCCCUCCGAGCCUCAAAUGAAGUCACAGCCUCGUAUGACGCCUUGACUCAGCCUGGAGAGACCUCAGCCGAGGGACUAACUAACCCCCAACAGCAUCUCCGAUCUACAAAACCGUGAAAGAAUAAACAGGUGUCAUUGUAA